UAUUCUUGAUGUUGUGGUCCAUGUAAGUC
Molecule: non-coding RNA, 29 nt
Filed under: Homo sapiens (human)
Lineage: Eukaryota; Metazoa; Chordata; Mammalia; Primates; Hominidae
Source: RNAcentral